UGGAAGACUAGUGAUUUUGUUGUUGUAAUAUAUAAAGACAACAAAACACAGCCUGCCUUA
RNAcentral lists this microRNA precursor (60 nucleotides) under Monodelphis domestica (gray short-tailed opossum). RNAcentral describes it as "Mdo-Mir-7-P4_pre stem-loop". The record is from RNAcentral. Lineage: Eukaryota; Metazoa; Chordata; Mammalia; Didelphimorphia; Didelphidae.